Molecule: ribosomal RNA, 261 nt
Filed under: uncultured prokaryote
Description: partial 16S ribosomal RNA
Rfam family: Bacterial small subunit ribosomal RNA
Source: RNAcentral
UACGGAGGAUCCGAGCGUUAUCCGGAUUUAUUGGGUUUAAAGGGUGCGCAGGCGGGAGAUUAAGUCGGCGGUGAAAUUUUGCAGCUCAACUGUAAAAGUGCCUUCGAAACUGGUUUCCUUGAGUGUAGAUGAAGUAGGUGGAAUUUGUGGUGUAGCGGUGAAAUGCUUAGAGAUCACACAGAAUAUCGAUUGCGAAGGCAGCUCACAAAGCCAAGAUUGACGCUGAGGCACGAAAGUGUGGGGAUCAAACAGGAUUAGAUA